GCAAACUUGGUCAUUUAGAGGAAGUAAAAGUCGUAACAAGGUUUCCGUAGGUGAACCUGCGGAAGGAUCAUUACCAAUCUUUAGCGGGCCUUGGCUUGUCCAUGGUCUCGCAAAACUCUGUAUUUAAAACCCGCUCUUUUAAAUUUUAAAUUAUGUUAUCAUAUUAUAAUUAAGACCACUUUCAACAACGGAUCUCUUGGCUCUCCAGGCAAACUUGGUCAUUUAGAGGAAGUAAAAGUCGUAACAAGGUUUCCGUAGGUGAACCUGCGGAAGGAUCAUUACCAAUCUUUAGCGGGCCUUGGCUUGUCCAUGGUCUCGCAAAACUCUGUAUUUAAAACCCGCUCUUUUAAAUUUUAAAUUAUGUUAUCAUAUUAUAAUUAAGACCACUUUCAACAACGGAUCUCUUGGCUCUCGCAUCGAUGAAGAACGCAGC
RNAcentral lists this unclassified non-coding RNA (433 nucleotides) under uncultured fungus. Its description in RNAcentral is "partial contains small subunit ribosomal RNA, internal transcribed spacer 1, and 5.8S ribosomal RNA". The stretch from base 1 to 73 matches the Rfam family "Eukaryotic small subunit ribosomal RNA", at positions 1759 to 1831 of the family's 1831-position model. The record is from RNAcentral. Lineage: Eukaryota; Fungi.